UGGCUCAGUUGGUAGAGCAUGGUUUUUGCAACGCCAGCAUGGUGUGUGUGCAACGCCAGGGUUGUGGGUUCAAUUCCCAC
Molecule: non-coding RNA, 80 nt
Organism: Salmo salar (Atlantic salmon)
Lineage: Eukaryota; Metazoa; Chordata; Actinopteri; Salmoniformes; Salmonidae
Source: Rfam